Molecule: transfer RNA, 74 nt
Filed under: Prosthecochloris sp. ZM
Lineage: Bacteria; Pseudomonadati; Chlorobiota; Chlorobiia; Chlorobiales; Chlorobiaceae
Description: tRNA-Val
Rfam family: tRNA
About the family: Transfer RNA (tRNA) molecules are approximately 80 nucleotides in length. Their secondary structure includes four short double-helical elements and three loops (D, anti-codon, and T loops). Further hydrogen bonds mediate the characteristic L-shaped molecular structure. tRNAs have two regions of fundamental functional importance: the anti-codon, which is responsible for specific mRNA codon recognition, and the 3' end, to which the tRNAs corresponding amino acid is attached (by aminoacyl-tRNA synthetases). tRNAs cope with the degeneracy of the genetic code in two manners: having more than one tRNA (with a specific anti-codon) for a particular amino acid; and 'wobble' base-pairing, i.e. permitting non-standard base-pairing at the 3rd anti-codon position.
Source: RNAcentral
GGGCGGUUAGCUCAGCUGGUUAGAGCGCAUGCUUCACACGCAUGAGGUCACAGGUUCGAAUCCCGUACCGCCCA